AGUGAACGCUGGCGGUAGGCCUAACACAUGCAAGUCGAACGGCAGCACAGUAAGAGCUUGCUCUUACGGGUGGCGAGUGGCGGACGGGUGAGGAAUACAUCGGAAUCUACUUUUUCGUGGGGGAUAACGUAGGGAAACUUACGCUAAUACCGCAUACGACCUACGGGUGAAAGCAGGGGAUCUUCGGACCUUGCGCGAUUGAAUGAGCCGAUGUCGGAUUAGCUAGUUGGCGGGGUAAUGGCCCACCAAGGCGACGAUCCGUAGCUGGUCUGAGAGGAUGAUCAGCCACACUGGAACUGAGACACGGUCCAGACUCCUACGGGAGGCAGCAGUGGGGAAUAUUGGACAGUGGGCGCAAGCCUGAUCCAGCCAUACCGCGUGGGUGAAGAAGGCCUUCGGGUUGUAAAGCCCUUUUGUUGGGAAAGAAAAGCAGCAGGUUAAUACCCCGCUGUUCUGACGGUACCCAAAGAAUAAGCACCGGCUAACUUCGUG
This 492-nucleotide ribosomal RNA is filed under the name uncultured bacterium. Its description in RNAcentral is "partial 16S ribosomal RNA". It matches the Rfam family "Bacterial small subunit ribosomal RNA", at positions 29 to 507 of the family's 1533-position model. The record is from RNAcentral.